Molecule: ribosomal RNA, 467 nt
Filed under: uncultured bacterium
Lineage: Bacteria
Description: partial 16S ribosomal RNA
Rfam family: Bacterial small subunit ribosomal RNA
Source: RNAcentral
GACGAACGCUGGCGGCGUGCUUAACACAUGCAAGUCGAACGGAAAGGCCCUGCUUUUGUGGGGUGCUCGAGUGGCGAACGGGUGAGUAACACGUGAGUAACCUGCCCUUGACUUUGGGAUAACUUCAGGAAACUGGGGCUAAUACCGGAUAGGAGCUCCUGCUGCAUGGUGGGGGUUGGAAAGUUUCGGCGGUUGGGGAUGGACUCGCGGCUUAUCAGCUUGUUGGUGGGGUAGUGGCUUACCAAGGCUUUGACGGGUAGCCGGCCUGAGAGGGUGACCGGCCACAUUGGGACUGAGUUACGGCCCAGCCCCCUCCGGGAGGCAGCGGGGGGGAAUAUUGCCCAAUGGGCGGACGCUUGAUCCAGCAACCCCGCGUGCGGGAUGACGGCCUUCGGGUUUGAAACCGCUUUCCCCUGUGACGAAGCUUGAGUGACGGUAAUGGGUAAAGAAGCCCCGGCUAACUACGU